GCCAGAGACAAUAACACGAUGAAUACACCAGUUCCUAAUGGAUAACAGAAGUUUAGCAACGUUGCGCGUGGUUGGUAUCCAACCAUCUGGGAAAUCGCGUGCUGCUGGUU
This 110-nucleotide ribosomal RNA is filed under the name Diaphorina citri (Asian citrus psyllid). The record is from RNAcentral. Lineage: Eukaryota; Metazoa; Arthropoda; Insecta; Hemiptera; Psyllidae.